RNAcentral lists this long non-coding RNA (1625 nucleotides) under Salmo salar (Atlantic salmon). Its description in RNAcentral is "lncRNA (ENSSSAG00000082618.1)". Lineage: Eukaryota; Metazoa; Chordata; Actinopteri; Salmoniformes; Salmonidae. The record is from RNAcentral.
AUCAGAACAAUGUAAGAUAAAAUUAACAGAAUCCCAAGACUGUACAGUAUACGGUAUGUUUACUUGAGGCAGACAGAAUCAUUAUGGACCUUUUUUUCUCUCUUAAGACUGACAGUCCACAAAUUAAAAAGCUCAAUUCUACAUGAUGGUAAUGGCAGAAGAAUGCUUCAGAAUGCAUGCAGCCAUAGUUAGAUCAGGUUGAAUGCUUCCCCUUCUAGUCACACACACACACACACACAAUGAGCAUGGCUACAACACAGGAAGCUGACUAUAUAAUGGUGCCGGAGGGGAUGGCUGCCGUUUUAUGGCUGAAAUUUAUGGGCUCAAACUCAUUUUGUACAUAAUGUUGCUACUAACGUCUUUAACGAAAAUAGCUUCUGGACAUCAGAACAGCACAACUCACCUCGAACUGGACAAAGAUUUCUUCUUUAAUGAGUCCAACGCAAAGGAUAUACUGCUUCCCAGAGACCAGGCACAAAUCCCUGUCAUUCGUGUGAAGAAAAGAUGGAAAUACAGUGGGCGGAGGUCUGGGCGCAUUGUGAGAAUUCGUCGCCAAAGUGGUGUUUUGAGAAGACAUCUGCUGGGAUAACACUUCUGUACUGCUACAGUCAAACUAAAGACAUCUGCUGGGAUAACAGUUCUGUACUGCUACCGUCUAACUAAAGACAUCUGCUGGGAUAACACUUCUGCACUGCUACCGUCUAACUAAAGACAUCUGCUGGGAUAACACUUCUGUACUGCUACAGUCAAACUAAAGACAUCUGCUGGGAUAACACUUCUGCACUGCUACAGUCUAACUAAAGACAUCUGCUGGGAUAACACUUCUGCACUGCUACAGUCAAACUAAAGACAUCUGCUGGGAUAACACUUCUGUACUGCUACCGUCAAACUAAAGACAUCUGCUGGGAUAACACUUCUGUACUGCUACAGUCAAACUAAAGACAUCUGCUGGGAUAACACUUCUGUACUGCUACAGUCAAACUAAAGACAUCUGCUGGGAUAACACUUCUGUACUGCUACAGUCAAACUAAAGACAUCUGCUGGGAUAACACUUCUGUACUGCUACAGUCAAACUAAAGACAUCUGCUGGGAUAACACUUCUGUACUGCUACAGUCAAACUAAAGACAUCUGCUGGGAUAACACUUCUGUACUGCUACAGUCAAACUAAAGACAUCUGCUGGGAUAACACUUCUAUACUGCUACAGUCUAACUAAGACAUCUGCUGGGAUAACACUUCUGUACUGCUACAGUCAAACUAAAGACAUCUGCUGGGAUAACACUUCUGUACUGCUACAGUCAAACUAAAGACAUCUGCUGGGAUAACACUUCUGUACUGCUACAGUCAAACUAAAGACAUCUGCUGGGAUAACACUUCUGUACUGCUACAGUCUAACUAAAAAAUCUGCUGGGAUAACACUUCUGUACGGCUACAGUCUGACUAAAGACAUCUGCAGGGAUAAAACGUUGGUACUGCUACAGUCUAACUAAAGAUGUGUCAUGAAUUUGGAAUGGUUCUACAGUCUAGUAUCCCAGAGUGACAAACUUGAGUGUAUCAAAGGUUAAUCACUGCCCCGCAGGCCAAGGUAUGAUAAAACAUUCUAUCCACAUUAUCCAAAUCAACUCC